GAUGAACGCUGGCGGCGUGCCUAAUACAUGCAAGUCGAGCGAACAGACGAGGAGCUUGCUCCUCUGACGUUAGCAGCGGACGGGUGAGUAACACGUGGAUAACCUACCUAUAAGACUGGGAUAACUUCGGGAAACCGGAGCUAAUACCGGAUAAUAUAUUGAACCGCAUGGUUCAAUAGUGAAAGACGGUUUUGCUGUCACUUAUAGAUGGAUCCGCGCCGCAUUAGCUAGUUGGUAAGGUAACGGCUUACCAAGGCAACGAUGCGUAGCCGACCUGAGAGGGUGAUCGGCCACACUGGAACUGAGACACGGUCCAGACUCCUACGGGAGGCAGCAGUAGGGAAUCUUCCGCAAUGGGCGAAAGCCUGACGGAGCAACGCCGCGUGAGUGAUGAAGGUCUUCGGAUCGUAAAACUCUGUUAUUAGGGAAGAACAAAUGUGUAAGUAACUAUGCACGUCUUGACGGUACCUAAUCAGAAAGCCACGGCUCACUACGUG
RNAcentral lists this ribosomal RNA (497 nucleotides) under uncultured bacterium. RNAcentral's name for it is "partial 16S ribosomal RNA". It matches the Rfam family "Bacterial small subunit ribosomal RNA", at positions 28 to 507 of the family's 1533-position model. The record is from RNAcentral.